Molecule: ribosomal RNA, 252 nt
Filed under: uncultured prokaryote
Description: partial 16S ribosomal RNA
Rfam family: Bacterial small subunit ribosomal RNA
Source: RNAcentral
ACGUAGGAGGCAAGCGUUAUCCGGUGUUACUGGGCGUAAAGGGCGUGCAGGCGGUUGGCUAAGUUCGUUGUGAAAGCGCCCAGGCUUAACCGGGCGAGGACAAUGAAGACUGGUCAGCUAGAGGACGGUAGAGGGGUGUGGAAUUCCGGGUGUAGUGGUGAAAUGCGUAGAGAUCUGGAGGAAUACCGGUGGCGAAGGCAGCCCCCUGGGAUGACGCUGACACUCAUGUACGAAAGCGUGGGUAGCAAACAG